Molecule: ribosomal RNA, 429 nt
Filed under: Gemmatimonadota bacterium
Lineage: Bacteria; Pseudomonadati; Gemmatimonadota
Description: Gemmatimonadetes bacterium partial 16S ribosomal RNA
Rfam family: Bacterial small subunit ribosomal RNA
Source: RNAcentral
UAGGGAAUCUUCGGCAAUGGACGAAAGUCUGACCGAGCAACGCCGCGUGAGUGAAGAAGGUUUUCGGAUCGUAAAACUCUGUUGUUAGAGAAGAACAAGGACGUUAGUAACUGAACGUCCCCUGACGGUAUCUAACCAGAAAGCCACGGCUAACUACGUGCCAGCAGCCGCGGUAAUACGUAGGUGGCAAGCGUUGUCCGGAUUUAUUGGGCGUAAAGCGAGCGCAGGCGGUUUCUUAAGUCUGAUGUGAAAGCCCCCGGCUCAACCGGGGAGGGUCAUUGGAAACUGGGAGACUUGAGUGCAGAAGAGGAGAGUGGAAUUCCAUGUGUAGCGGUGAAAUGCGUAGAUAUAUGGAGGAACACAAGUGGCGAAGGCGGCUCUCUGGUCUGUAACUGACGCUGAGGCUCGAAAGCGUGGGGGGCAAACAGG